RNAcentral lists this ribosomal RNA (438 nucleotides) under uncultured bacterium. RNAcentral describes it as "bacterial SSU rRNA". It matches the Rfam family "Bacterial small subunit ribosomal RNA", at positions 29 to 507 of the family's 1533-position model. The record is from RNAcentral.
AACGAACGCUGGCGGCAUGCCUAACACAUGCAAGUCGAACGAGACCUUCGGGUCUAGUGGCGCACGGGUGCGUAACGCGUGGGAACCUGCCUUUAGGUUCGGAAUAACAGUGAGAAAUUACUGCUAAUACCGGAUGAUGUCUUCGGACCAAAGAUUUAUCGCCUUUAGAUGGGCCCGCGUUGGAUUAGCUAGUUGGUGGGGUAAAGGCCUACCAAGGCGACGAUCCAUAGCUGGUUUGAGAGGAUGAUCAGCCACACUGGGACUGAGACACGGCCCAGACUCCUACGGGAGGCAGCAGUGGAGAAUCUUAGACAAUGGGGGCAACCCUGAUCUAGCCAUGCCGCGUGAGUGAUGAAGGCCCUAGGGUUGUAAAGCUCUUUUAGCAGGGAAGAAGCGAAAGUGACGGUACCUGCAGAAAAAGCACCGGCUAACUACGUG